This 1412-nucleotide ribosomal RNA is filed under the name uncultured organism. Its description in RNAcentral is "bacterial SSU rRNA". It matches the Rfam family "Bacterial small subunit ribosomal RNA". The record is from RNAcentral.
UGAACGCUGGCGGCAUGGCUAAAACAUGCAAGUCGAGCGCGAAACCGGCUUCGGUCGGGAGUAGAGCGGCGAACGGGCGAGUAAUGCGUUUCUAACGUGCCUCGAGGACGGGGAUAGCCAGGGGAAACUCUGGGUAAUACCCGAUAACCUCACCGGGCCGCAUGGUCUGGUGAGCAAAUGUUCCGGCGCCUCGAGAUCGGGAAACGUCCUAUCAGGUAGUUGGUGGGGUAACAGCUCACCAAGCCAAAGACGGGUAGCGGGUGUGAGAGCACGACCCGCCGCAUCGGGACUGAGACACUGCCCGGACUCCUACGGGAGGCUGCAGUAACGGAUCUUCCGCAAUGCGCGAAAGCGUGACGGAGCAAUGCCGCGUGCAGGAUGAAGCCCCUCGGGGUGUAAACUGCUGUCAGGAGCUAGGACUUCCGACCAGCUCCAGAGGAAGGGCCGGCUAACUCUGUGCCAGCAGCCGCGGUAAGACAGAGGGCCCGAGCGUUAAGCGGAGUCACUGGGCUUAAAGGGUGCGUAGGCGGAGGCGUCAGUGUCUUGUGAAAUACCACUGCUCAACGGUGGAACUGCAGGGCAUACUGCGUCUCUUGAGGCCGGUAAGGGUUGUCGGAACGGUAGGUGUAGCGGUGAAAUGCGUAGAUAUCUACCGGAACGCCGAUGGUGAAGACAGGCAACUGGGCCGGUUCUGACGCUGAGGCACGAAAGCGUGGGGAGCAAACAGGAUUAGAUACCCUGGUAGUCCACGCCGUAAACGUUGUGCACUAGGUCCGGGAGGUUUUGACGCCAUCCGGGUCGAAGCAAAAGUGUUAAGUGCACCGCCUGGGGAGUACGGUCGCAAGGCUAAAACUCAAAGGAAUUGACGGGGGCUCACACAAGCGGUGGAGCAUGUGGCUUAAUUCGAGGCAACGCGAAGAACCUUAUCCUGGACUUGACAUGCACGGAUUAGUGAUCCGAAAGGUGAUCGACGCUCUUACGAGUGGAACGUGCACAGGUGCUGCAUGGCUGUCGUCAGCUCGUGCUGUGAAGUGUCGGGUUAAGUCCCUUAACGAGCGAAACCCCUGUCGUUAGUUGCUAACAGGUUAUGCUGAGGACUCUAGCGAGACUGCCGGUGUCAAACCGGAGGAAGGUGGGGACGACGUCAAGUCAUCAUGGCCUUUAUGUCCAGGGCUGCACACGUGCUACAAUGGUCGAAACAGAGCGAAGCGAUGCCGCGAGGCGGAGCAAAUCGCAAAAAUUCGGCCCCAGUUCAGAUUGCAGUCUGCAACUCGACUGCAUGAAGUCGGAAUCGCUAGUAAUCGCGUAUCAGCAAUGACGCGGUGAAUACGUUCCUGAGCAUUGUACACACCGCCCGUCAAGUCAUGGAAGCCGGGAGUACCCGAAGUCGCCACAAUUCAGUGGUGCCGACG